GAUUCAUCGUCAACGGGGUCGGCUUCCAUGCGGCGCGCGAUGAUGUCGAGUCUUUACGGAUUCGAUUCACGCUUCCGCUGUGGUAUGCGUCCGAUCACGUCGGCGUGCACUUCUCCUCUGGUAGAACGUCGCGACCCGCUGGGUGUCGGUCUAAGGACCAGGCGCGUCGACUGUACCGUCGCUUCGGCGUUACGUGUGCAGACCGCUUUUGGAUUCCCGACCGACUGCUCGGCGGUAAACACAAGGUAUCGAGCCGCACUCGAAUGCGUUCAGACCCGUUGCAAGCUGUAUCAUUUUUCAUCCGGAUGUGCGGACCUGGUGCCGUACCUGGGAAUGAUUGGCUGUUGGUCGACGGUGUUCUCGAACCGGCUUACACAGUUGCUGUAUACAGCGAUACCGGUCGGCGACGCUAUUGCUUCGGGUACUUUCAGGACCCGUCUUGAAACACGGACCAAGGAGUCUAACAUGUGCGCGAGUCAUUGGGAUCAUUGUGAAACCUAAAGGCGCAUUGAAAGAGAAGAUCGGCCUUGCGUCGAUCGAGGGAGGAUGGGCUGACGUUUCGAUGUUGCUCCGCACUCCCGGGGCGUCUCGUGGUCAUUGCGACUUGAGGCGCACCCAGAGCGUACACGUUGGGACCCGAAAGAUGGUGAACUAUGCCUGGUCAGGACGAAGUCAGGGGAAACCCUGAUGGAGGUCCGUAGCGAUUCUGACGUGCAAAUCGAUCGUCGGAACUGGGUAUAGGGGCGAAAGACUAAUCGAACCAUC
RNAcentral lists this ribosomal RNA (765 nucleotides) under Trissolcus tumidus. RNAcentral describes it as "partial large subunit ribosomal RNA". It matches the Rfam family "Eukaryotic large subunit ribosomal RNA", at positions 596 to 944 of the family's 3401-position model. The record is from RNAcentral. Lineage: Eukaryota; Metazoa; Arthropoda; Insecta; Hymenoptera; Scelionidae.